CAGUCGCCACGGUAAUACAGAGGGUGCGAGCGUUAAUCGGAUUUACUGGGCGUAAAGCGUGCGUAGGCGGCUUCUUAAGUCGGAUGUGAAAUCCCUGAGCUUAACUUAGGAAUUGCAUUCGAUACUGGGAAGCUAGAGUAUGGGAGAGGAUGGUAGAAUUCCAGGUGUAGCGGUGAAAUGCGUAGAGAUCUGGAGGAAUACCGAUGGCGAAGGCAGCCAUCUGGCCUAAUACUGACGCUGAGGUACAAAAGCAUGGGGAGCAAACAGGAUUAGAUACCCCUGUAGUCCCUGUCUCUUAUAC
Molecule: ribosomal RNA, 301 nt
Filed under: uncultured bacterium
Lineage: Bacteria
Description: partial 16S ribosomal RNA
Rfam family: Bacterial small subunit ribosomal RNA
Source: RNAcentral